RNAcentral lists this long non-coding RNA (550 nucleotides) under Lupinus angustifolius (narrow-leaved blue lupine). RNAcentral's name for it is "long non-coding RNA (LANG_LNC002461)". Lineage: Eukaryota; Viridiplantae; Streptophyta; Magnoliopsida; Fabales; Fabaceae. The record is from RNAcentral.
UUGCUUUAGCAGAGCAAAAUCCUUGAAUAUACUUUUCUAAUUCUAGUUCUUAUGUACAUUUCCUGCAUCCUACUCUCUCUUAAUCCUUCAACAUCACCAUUAAAAUCUUACAAUAGGAACUAAUAAAAUAGAAAAAAGCCUUUGAAUUUGGAAAAUUAGUAUACUACAUAAGUAGAAGGCCAAUAAAAAAAAGAACAUCAAAUCACCAAAAACUCUUCUUUUCUAAGAUCUCUUAUUCUUUGUAGGAUACUUGUUCUGGGUUGGAUUUGGGCCAGUUGAUGGUGCUUUCCUCAAACUUUGAUCCAAAUCUUUCUUGUUUUGUUUCUUGCUUCCACUUAUUUUACCUAUACUUGUUGAAACAGAAAAAGAUGAAGAUAGCAACUUCCUUGAAAGACUUGUAUCUCUUGAAAAUCUAUGUUCAUAGUUGAGACACAAUGAAGAGAACAGAAGAAAGUGAACAAGAACCAAGGCUAAGAUUGCAGCCAAAACCCUGAAGAAGAUUGUUUUCAUGAUAAUGAAUUCAGAGUGGUUUGAGUUGGAAACAUACUAG